This 162-nucleotide ribosomal RNA is filed under the name Rhinella ornata. RNAcentral describes it as "partial 16S ribosomal RNA". RNAcentral also lists the same sequence under 1 other name. The record is from RNAcentral. Lineage: Eukaryota; Metazoa; Chordata; Amphibia; Anura; Bufonidae.
UCAGACCGGAGUAAUCCAGGUCAGUUUCUAUCUAUAUAUGAGUUUCUCCUAGUACGAAAGGACCGAAGAAACACGGCCCAUAUCUUUACAAGCCGUAGCUACUAAAUUAUGAUUUAAACUCAAUAAUAUCGUAGCCCAUAAAUCUACUCAAGACAAGAGUCG